RNAcentral lists this small nuclear RNA (23 nucleotides) under Arabidopsis thaliana (thale cress). RNAcentral's name for it is "snRNA_08042". Lineage: Eukaryota; Viridiplantae; Streptophyta; Magnoliopsida; Brassicales; Brassicaceae. The record is from RNAcentral.
CAAGUGAUCUUACGUUUUGUAAG